CUCUUGUCCAGGUUUCGUUUUCGUCGCAGUUUGAGGUGUCUAGGGGAGUGACUGCCGUUUCUAUAUGACAGCAACAGCUGAUUGCACGCCGCGAUGGAAAUGUAAACAAUGGAGGGAGGAAGGAGAUGGCAUUUAGUUGCUGGAAAAACAGGAACUAGUUUGAGUUUCUGUCACCAAGUCCGACUACAAGUGGCCUUUGGGCUUUUUUUUUUUUUCCUGCAACGUCUGAUCCACCUGCUUUCCUCUAGCUGCAAAGCAGAGAUCAGCUGUCCUUGCCACAGCAGCAGCAUUCCUCACCCUGCGCCUUUUCUUGAAAUCUCAGAAAAAUCAUAAUCAGGCUGUAAAAAAAAAAAAAAAUAGUUCAGCUGUCCUUUUUUUGUGUUGGAGGUAUAAUGCCUCACGUUCGGUCAAACAGUAAGGACACACAGCACCUGGAGGAAGA
Molecule: long non-coding RNA, 442 nt
Organism: Poecilia latipinna (sailfin molly)
Lineage: Eukaryota; Metazoa; Chordata; Actinopteri; Cyprinodontiformes; Poeciliidae
Exons: 2
Source: RefSeq, a predicted model, not a curated record